UAGUGAUUCCUACGGGAGGCAGCAGUGGGGAAUAUCGGACAAUGGGCGAAAGCCUGAUCCAGCAAUGCCGCGUGAGUGAUGAAGGCCUUAGGGUUGUAAAGCUCUUUUACCAGGGAUGAUAAUGACAGUACCUGGAGAAUAAGCUCCGGCUAACUCCGUGCCAGCAGCCGCGGUAAU
This 177-nucleotide ribosomal RNA is filed under the name uncultured bacterium. Its description in RNAcentral is "partial 16S ribosomal RNA". It matches the Rfam family "Bacterial small subunit ribosomal RNA", at positions 330 to 524 of the family's 1533-position model. The record is from RNAcentral.